Molecule: ribosomal RNA, 440 nt
Filed under: uncultured bacterium
Lineage: Bacteria
Description: partial 16S ribosomal RNA
Rfam family: Bacterial small subunit ribosomal RNA
Source: RNAcentral
CCUACGGGUGGCAGCAGUGAGGGAUAUUGGUCAAUGGGGGAAACCCUGAACCAGCAACGCCGCGUGCGGGAUGACGGUUUUCGGAUUGUAAACCUCUGUCCUCUGUGAAGAUGAUGACGGUAGCAGAGGAGGUACCUACGGCUAAUGACGUGCCAGCAGCCGCGGUCAUACGUAGGGAGCAAGCGUUGUCCGGAUUUACUGGGUGUAAAGGGUGCGUAGGCGGCUUUGCAAGUCAGAAGUGAAAUCCAUGGGCUUAACCCAUGAUCUGCUUUUGAAACUACAGAGCUUGAGUGGGGUAGAGGUAGGCGGAAUUCCCGGUGUAGCGGUGAAAUGCGUAGAGAUCGGGAGGAACACCAGUGGCGAAGGCGGCCUGCUGGGCUCUAACUGACGCUGAGGCACGAAAGCGUGGGUAGCAAACAGGAUUAGAUACCCCGGUAGUC